RNAcentral lists this ribosomal RNA (651 nucleotides) under uncultured bacterium. Its description in RNAcentral is "bacterial SSU rRNA". It matches the Rfam family "Bacterial small subunit ribosomal RNA", at positions 202 to 842 of the family's 1533-position model. The record is from RNAcentral.
AGAUGGCUUUAGCUAUCACUCUGGGAUGGACCUGCGGUGCAUUAGCUAGUUGGUAAGGUAACGGCUUACCAAGGCGAUGAUGCAUAGCCGAGUUGAGAGACUGAUCGGCCACAAUGGAACUGAGACACGGUCCAUACUCCUACGGGAGGCAGCAGUAGGGAAUCUUCCACAAUGGGCGCAAGCCUGAUGGAGCAACACCGCGUGAGUGAAGAAGGGUUUCGGCUCGUAAAGCUCUGUUGUUGGAGAAGAACGUGCGUGAGAGUAACUGUUCACGCAGUGACGGUAUCCAACCAGAAAGUCACGGCUAACUACGUGCCAGCAGCCGCGGUAAUACGUAGGUGGCAAGCGUUAUCCGGAUUUAUUGGGCGUAAAGCGAGCGCAGGCGGUUGCUUAGGUCUGAUGUGAAAGCCUUCGGCUUAACCGAAGAAGUGCAUCGGAAACCGGGCAACUUGAGUGCAGAGGAGGACAGUGGAACUCCAUGUGUAGCGGUGGAAUGCGUAGAUAUAUGGAAGAACACCAGUGGCGAAGGCGGCUGUCUGGUCUGCAACUGACGCUGAGGCUCGAAAGCAUGGGUAGCGAACAGGAUUAGAUACCCUGGUAGUCCAUGCCGUAAACGAUGAGUGCUAGGUGUUGGAGGGUUUCCGCCCUUCA